GAGGCACUCGGCUUCGCAACCUGGGUGUGCCUGGCCUGGGUGUGCGGGAGGACCCCAGAGGACCCCAGAGGACCCCAGGAGCAGGGGUCGCGCCGAAGAGCAGAGUCCGCGGCUGGAAACCAGGCAGGGGAGCCACGGAGUAGUCACACAGGUUUUCUGCCGCCUUUCAACUGGUCUUAUUUUGCUUUCAUUUUUCACCAGCCCAUGUGGGGUGUUUAAUGUUGCACGCGAACGCAGUUUCUUCCGGGCCCGGAAGGCCCACGCACGCAACAAUGUUGUGCAAGUGACUGGAAACCACCUGAGUGUCCCUCCAUGGGGGUGGGUUGCCCAGCAUGGACCUCUACUCCUGUCACAAUGAAGUCGACUGUUUCGUCGAGGGAAGUGGCCACCGUUGAUAAAAUGAAAAGACGCCAUGCAGAAUACUGUGCACAGGAGGAAAGGUCUGCGUGCCCUAAGAGAGAGCUGCUGGCGUGCAGAGAGAAGCAGAGAUGCCGACGACGGGGAGGAAACACACUGGCGGUGGAUCUGCGGAGAUGGACAGGACAGGAGACUAAGGAGCUAGACCUUUGCAUCAUUUCAGGUGGCUUGUGAGUUCUGGCCAGCAGAAUGUGAGAACAAGCAGAGUACUCUCCAUCUUCCCUCCCUGAUCCUCACCUCUUCCCCAACCACCAGCUGACUAGAGAUGCCUCCAACAGCUACAGGAGG
This 705-nucleotide long non-coding RNA is filed under the name Homo sapiens (human). RNAcentral's name for it is "non-protein coding lnc-DYDC1-1:7". The record is from RNAcentral. Lineage: Eukaryota; Metazoa; Chordata; Mammalia; Primates; Hominidae.